Homo sapiens (human) is the source of this 1630-nucleotide long non-coding RNA. RefSeq lists it as uncharacterized. The transcript is spliced from 2 exons. NCBI's taxonomy places the organism in Eukaryota, Metazoa, Chordata, Mammalia, Primates, Hominidae. The record is from RefSeq and is a predicted model, not a curated record.
CUGGUACUUUUGCUUUUCAAAUAGAAAGAAGUCUGAUAUGAUUUUCUAAAAUAGAAGUUUUGCACACGACUACUUUCACUUUCAUUAGGCUGCUCUCCUCGUAACCCAAACUGGUUUAUGUUAGGAGAAAACAGUUUGAUGUCAGUGCGUGUCAUUUGGAAAGGAGCCUAUUUAAACUGGGCAUUAUAAGGAACUCAUAGUGCUUCCUCUGUUUGUUUCACAGCAUAAAAGACAUUGGUCCUGGUGGUAAAGAGACCUAGUGGAAGACACCAUUGCUGAUCUCCUGGGCAAAGUAGGGCAGAGGGCAUGGCACAGAGUGGACUCUUACAAGAAACUCCAGGCCUAGAAAAUCACAAACUCAGCUUGGUUCUGGUUUCUACAGCUACCUGGACUCAAAGACUUGCACCGCUCUCUGUGUAAAUACUAGAAAUGUUACAAAUCUUUUUGCUUUUCUUUAAAAAAAAAAAAAAGUGUUUCUUCCCAAUUCUUUAAAAUAGAAAUUUCAAAAUGUAAAUACUUUUUCUGUUUACUUUAAAUCAUUUGAUUUUUUUAAACUUAAUUUUAAAAAUGGCCCGCACACAGCGUGGGAAUGUCGGGGCAACCGUGAAACCGCACUCUGCCGGACCCUCUGGCUCUUCCCGUCGAACAUACAGAGAAGGCUCUCUUAGAUCUGUACCUCCCUCGCUGCAUGCUGCCAGAAGAUCACUACCCUCUCCAUAAAAAUCUACCUGGCAAAUAGAGGCUGGAAGUCGUACAGAAAUAAUCAUCAAGCCUGACAGUUCGGAUGAUUCUGAGGCCCAAAUCCCUGCCUCCCAGGGUAACGUCAGGGCCAACUCUGGGGGUAGUACUGCUUUGACUGCUAAAAUGAUGCGGGGCCAGCAUGUUGCUUGCUGAACUGGCUCCUUUAUGAGAGAGAUACAUCAUCAGAAAUCAGGCGGCCCAAUCUAUGCCACUACUGGACAUUAACAUACUGUGGGUGACAGGAGAAAAGAGCAGGUGCCUGCAGCAAUUUCCAGGUAACCCCAUGUCUAACCUCAGCUAAUCACAAGGCAGCACCAGGCCUCCCAGUAAGGGGAGGGGGAGUGGAGGUCAGAGGAUCCAAAAUCUGAUGAGCAGAAUAAAUGUGUGACUUAAGAAAAUAAAAUUAGUCGGCCAGGCGCGAUGGCUCACGCCUGUAAUCCCAGCACUUUGGGAGGCCGAGGUGGGUAGAUCACAGGGUCAGGAGAUCGAGACCAUCCUGGCCGACAUUGUGAAACCUAGUCUCUACUAAAAAUACAAAAAUUAGCUGGGCGUGGUGGCAUGCGCCUGUAUUCCCAGCUACUCAGGAGGCUGAGGACGAGAAUUGCUUGAACCUGGGAAGCGGGGGUUGCAGUGAGCCGAGAUCGUGCCACUGCCCUCCAGCCUGGGCCACAGAGCAAGACUCUGUCUCAAAAAAAAAAGAAAAGAAAAUUAGUCAUUAUCUAAUAUUCAUGACCUAUAACAACAGAUGGAUACAUAACUGGUAAAUGAAUGAAUGAAGAUUAUUUAAUAUUAAUUUUCUAUCUGUUACUGGAGGAUUCUAUAGCACAGGGCAUUCGCAAUCCCCUUUUAUCUUAUUAUGAGAAUAAACAAGAAGUUGGCAGAGACUGGA